GGUGGCUCAGGUUGUAGCAGGGCCCUUGGCCGAUCUUCUCUACCCUCAGGUCAGCGCCGAAUGAACCUGUCGAGCCGACCUCGUCUGAUGAGCUCCUCGAUCUCGUCCCAGAGUUGAAUGCAUUCCUCCGUGUCGUGGCCGUGGUCACGAUGGUAGAGGCAGAACUUGUUAGGAUUGCACUUCCCGGGGUGCGUGUGCAUCCUCUCUGGCCUUGGGAGCUGCUCUCUGACCUCCAUCAGCACCUGGAUUUUCGAUACGUUGAGGGGGGCAUAGCUGUGGAAUCUUCCUGGAGGAGAGCCCCGUCGAGCCCGGCGCUCCGGGCU
This 323-nucleotide long non-coding RNA is filed under the name Elaeis guineensis (African oil palm). Its description in RNAcentral is "long non-coding RNA (EGUI_LNC041169)". The record is from RNAcentral. Lineage: Eukaryota; Viridiplantae; Streptophyta; Magnoliopsida; Arecales; Arecaceae.